UACGUAGGGUGCGAGCGUUGUCCGGAAUUAUUGGGCGUAAAGAGCUUGUAGGUGGUUUGUCGCGUCUGCUGUGAAAAUCCGGGGCUCAACCCCGGACUUGCAGUGGGUACGGGCAGACUAGAGUGUGGUAGGGGAGACUGGAAUUCCUGGUGUAGCGGUGAAAUGCGCAGAUAUCAGGAGGAACACCGAUGGCGAAGGCAGGUCUCUGGGCCACUACUGACGCUGAGAAGCGAAAGCAUGGGGAGCGAACAGG
Molecule: ribosomal RNA, 253 nt
Filed under: uncultured bacterium
Lineage: Bacteria
Description: partial 16S ribosomal RNA
Rfam family: Bacterial small subunit ribosomal RNA
Source: RNAcentral